RNA transcript from Homo sapiens (human), 5282 nucleotides. It is a transcript of the gene named PPIP5K1P1-CATSPER2 readthrough, with no coding region annotated. The transcript has 40 exons. The record is from RefSeq and is marked validated. Lineage: Eukaryota; Metazoa; Chordata; Mammalia; Primates; Hominidae.
GUUCGGCUGCGCGAGCGGAGGGAGGCGGGACUCAAGAGUAGCCUUCCUCGAGGACCUGCCUUUCCCAUUUGCUGCCUGAAGUUAAUGUUUCUUGCUGGCCAAAUCAGGGACAUGCCGGCAUUUUCCCUCUUAUGCUUUUCAUCUCCAUCCCCAGCCCCACCCACAGCCAGGGGGCUUGGGUUCUGAGCUGAUGGGGUACCCCCCUCUGCAGAGCGGGAUGAGUGGGUGUUCCGGCAGGGAUGUGGUCAUUGACGGCCAGUGAGGGCGAGAGUACCACGGCCCACUUCUUCCUUGGAGCUGGAGAUGAGGGGCUGGGCACCCGUGGAAUAGGCAUGAGGCCAGAAGAGAGUGACAGCGAGCUCCUUGAGGAUGAGGAGGAUGAAGUGCCUCCUGAACCUCAGAUCAUUGUUGGCAUCUGUGCCAUGACCAAGAAAUCCAAGUCCAAGCCAAUGACUCAAAUCCUAGAGCGACUCUGCAGAUUUGACUACCUGACUGUUGUCAUUCUGGGAGAAGAUGUAAUCCUUAAUGAACCUGUGGAAAACUGGCCAUCCUGCCACUGCCUCAUCUCUUUCCACUCCAAAGGCUUUCCUCUGGACAAAGCUGUUGCUUACUCCAAGCUUCGAAACCCCUUUCUUAUCAAUGAUCUGGCCAUGCAGUAUUACAUCCAAGAUAGGAGGGAGGUGUACCGGAUCCUGCAGGAAGAGGGUAUUGAUCUGCCUCGAUAUGCUGUGCUCAACCGUGAUCCUGCCCGGCCUGAGGAAUGCAACCUGAUAGAAGGUGAAGACCAAGUAGAGGUCAAUGGAGCUGUCUUUCCCAAGCCCUUUGUGGAGAAGCCAGUGAGUGCAGAAGACCACAAUGUUUACAUCUACUACCCCAGCUCAGCUGGAGGAGGAAGCCAGCGUCUCUUUCGUAAGAUUGGCAGCCGAAGCAGUGUUUACUCUCCUGAGAGCAGCGUCCGAAAGACGGGGUCGUACAUCUAUGAGGAGUUUAUGCCAACAGAUGGCACAGAUGUCAAGGUGUAUACAGUGGGGCCAGAUUAUGCCCAUGCUGAAGCUAGAAAAUCUCCAGCUUUGGAUGGGAAGGUUGAACGAGACAGUGAGGGGAAAGAGAUUCAAUAUCCAGUCAUGCUGACUGCCAUGGAAAAGCUGGUGGCCAGGAAAGUCUGCGUAGCUUUCAAGCAAACAGUUUGUGGAUUUGACCUUCUUCGUGCCAAUGGUCAUUCCUUUGUGUGUGAUGUCAAUGGCUUUAGUUUUGUCAAGAACUCGAUGAAAUACUACGAUGACUGUGCCAAGAUUCUGGGGAACACCAUAAUGCGGGAGCUUGCCCCACAGUUCCAGAUUCCAUGGUCCAUCCCCACGGAGGCUGAGGACAUUCCCAUUGUUCCCACCACAUCUGGCACUAUGAUGGAACUUCGUUGUGUCAUUGCAAUUAUUCGUCAUGGGGAUCGUACUCCCAAGCAGAAGAUGAAGAUGGAAGUGAAACACCCAAGGUUUUUUGCUCUGUUUGAAAAACAUGGUGGCUACAAGACAGGGAAAUUAAAACUCAAGCGACCUGAGCAGCUCCAGGAGGUGCUGGAUAUCACAAGGCUGUUGUUGGCUGAACUGGAGAAAGAACCAGGUGGUGAGAUCGAGGAGAAGACUGGAAAACUAGAGCAGCUGAAGUCUGUACUGGAGAUGUAUGGUCACUUCUCAGGUAUAAACCGGAAGGUACAAUUGACUUACUACCCUCAUGGAGUAAAAGCUUCUAAUGAGGGGCAAGAUCCACAGAGGGAAACUCUGGCCCCAUCUCUGUUGCUGGUACUGAAGUGGGGUGGAGAACUGACUCCUGCUGGCCGUGUUCAGGCUGAGGAGCUGGGGCGAGCUUUUCGCUGCAUGUACCCUGGAGGACAGGGUGACUAUGCUGGCUUCCCUGGUUGUGGGCUGCUUCGUCUCCAUAGCACUUUCCGCCACGAUCUCAAGAUCUAUGCCUCUGAUGAGGGUCGUGUUCAGAUGACUGCUGCUGCCUUCGCCAAGGGCCUUCUGGCUCUAGAAGGGGAGCUGACACCCAUUUUGGUGCAAAUGGUGAAGAGUGCCAACAUGAAUGGGCUACUGGACAGCGAUGGGGAUUCCUUGAGCAGCUGCCAGCACCGGGUGAAGGCUCGGCUGCACCAUAUUCUACAGCAGGAUGCGCCCUUUGGCCCUGAGGACUACGAUCAGCUGGCUCCCACCAGAAGUACUUCCCUGCUCAACUCCAUGACUAUCAUCCAGAAUCCUGUGAAGGUCUGUGAUCAGGUAUUUGCCCUGAUCGAAAACCUCACCCACCAGAUCCGGGAACGAAUGCAGGACCCCAGGUCUGUAGACCUGCAGCUCUACCACAGUGAGACACUAGAGCUAAUGCUACAGCGUUGGAGCAAGCUGGAGCGUGACUUUCGACAGAAGAGUGGGCGCUAUGAUAUCAGUAAGAUCCCUGACAUCUAUGACUGUGUCAAGUAUGAUGUGCAGCACAAUGGGAGUCUGGGACUUCAAGGCACAGCAGAGUUGCUCCGUCUCUCUAAGGCACUGGCUGAUGUGGUCAUUCCCCAGGAGUACGGGAUCAGUCGGGAGGAGAAACUGGAAAUUGCUGUGGGCUUCUGUCUUCCACUGUUGCGGAAGAUACUACUUGACCUGCAGAGAACCCACGAGGAUGAGUCUGUCAACAAGCUGCAUCCCCUGUACUCCCGAGGCGUGCUCUCCCCAGGUCGCCACGUUCGAACGCGUCUCUAUUUCACCAGUGAGAGCCAUGUCCACUCCCUGCUCAGUGUCUUCCGUUAUGGAGGACUUCUUGAUGAGACCCAGGAUGCACAAUGGCAGCGAGCUUUGGAUUAUCUUAGUGCCAUCUCAGAGCUUAACUACAUGACCCAGAUUGUCAUCAUGCUUUAUGAGGACAACACACAGGAUCCCUUAUCAGAGGAACGGUUCCAUGUGGAGCUACACUUCAGCCCCGGAGUGAAAGGUGUUGAGGAAGAAGGCAGUGCCCCGGCUGGCUGUGGAUUCCGUCCAGCCUCUUCUGAGAAUGAGGAGAUGAAAACCAACCAAGGCAGUAUGGAGAACCUGUGUCCAGGAAAGGCAUCAGAUGAACCAGACCGGGCAUUGCAGACUUCACCCCAGCCUCCUGAGGGCCCUGGCCUUCCGAGGAGAUCACCCCUCAUUCGUAACCGAAAAGCUGGUUCCAUGGAGGUACUUUCUGAGACUUCAUCCUCGAGGCCUGGUGGCUACCGGCUCUUUUCAUCUUCACGGCCACCCACAGAAAUGAAGCAGAGUGGCCUAGGCUCACAGUGCACAGGGCUGUUCAGCACCACAGUGCUGGGUGGCUCCUCCAGUGCCCCGAAUCUUCAGGACUACGCCCGCAGCCAUGGCAAAAAGCUACCACCUGCCAGUCUGAAGCACCGAGAUGAGCUCUUGUUUGUCCCGGCCGUAAAACGAUUUUCUGUGUCGUUUGCAAAGCAUCCGACUAACGGUACUCUUUUCGUUUGGACAGAGGUAUCUGCCGGUACUGAGAUGUAAGUGAUCAGCUGAAGGGAGAAACUGUACACCAUGUGACGGACAAAUUGCCUGCCUCAAGAAAGCACUUAGGACCAUUCUGCAGCCACUCAGUGACCUUGGCUAGAAACCAAUGGCUGUGCGGCGUGAGACAUGGCCGCUUACCAACAAGAAGAGCAGAUGCAGCUUCCCCGAGCUGAUGCCAUUCGUUCACGUCUCAUCGAUACUUUCUCUCUCAUUGAGCAUUUGCAAGGCUUGAGCCAAGCUGUGCCGCGGCACACUAUCAGGGAGUUACUUGAUCCUUCCCGCCAGAAGAAACUUGUAUUGGGAGAUCAACACCAGCUAGUGCGUUUCUCUAUAAAGCCUCAGCGUAUAGAACAGAUUUCACAUGCCCAGAGGCUGUUGAGCAGGCUUCAUGUGCGCUGCAGUCAGAGGCCACCUCUUUCUUUGUGGGCCGGAUGGGUCCUUGAGUGUCCUCUCUUCAAAAACUUCAUCAUCUUCCUGGUCUUUUUGAAUACGAUCAUAUUGAUGGUUGAAAUAGAAUUGCUGGAAUCCACAAAUACCAAACUAUGGCCAUUGAAGCUGACCUUGGAGGUGGCAGCUUGGUUUAUCUUGCUUAUUUUCAUCCUGGAGAUCCUUCUUAAGUGGCUAUCCAACUUUUCUGUUUUCUGGAAGAGUGCCUGGAAUGUCUUUGACUUUGUUGUUACCAUGUUGUCCCUGCUUCCCGAGGUUGUGGUAUUGGUAGGGGUAACAGGCCAAUCGGUGUGGCUUCAGCUUCUGAGGAUCUGCCGGGUGCUGAGGUCUCUCAAACUCCUUGCACAAUUCCGUCAAAUUCAAAUUAUUAUUUUGGUCCUGGUCAGGGCCCUCAAGAGCAUGACCUUCCUCUUGAUGUUGCUGCUCAUCUUCUUCUACAUUUUUGCUGUGACUGGUGUCUACGUCUUCUCAGAGUACACCCGUUCACCUCGUCAGGACCUGGAGUACCAUGUGUUCUUCUCGGACCUCCCGAAUUCCCUGGUAACAGUGUUCAUUCUCUUCACCUUGGAUCAUUGGUAUGCACUGCUUCAGGACGUCUGGAAGGUGCCUGAAGUCAGUCGCAUCUUCAGCAGCAUCUAUUUCAUCCUUUGGUUGUUGCUUGGCUCCAUUAUCUUUCGAAGUAUCAUAGUAGCCAUGAUGGGAGAAAAAACAUGUCACAUGAAGCACUGACGUCAAGCCAUAGCAAAAUAGAGGACAGUUCAAGAGGAGCUAGUCAACAAAGGGAAAGUUUGGACUUAUCAGAAGUGUCUGAAGUAGAGUCUAAUUAUGGUGCCACUGAAGAGGAUUUAAUAACAUCUGCAUCAAAAACAGAAGAGACCUUGUCAAAAAAGAGAGAGUACCAGUCUUCCUCCUGUGUCUCCUCCACAUCCUCUUCCUAUUCUUCCUCUUCUGAAUCCAGAUUUUCUGAAUCUAUUGGUCGUUUGGACUGGGAGACUCUUGUGCACGAAAAUCUGCCCGGGCUAAUGGAAAUGGAUCAGGAUGACCGUGUUUGGCCCAGAGACUCACUCUUCCGAUAUUUUGAGUUGCUAGAAAAGCUUCAGUAUAACCUAGAGGAACGUAAGAAGUUACAAGAGUUUGCAGUGCAGGCACUGAUGAACUUGGAAGACAAGUAAAGCAAUGGAUGGCUUCAAUAUCCUUGGGCCCAGCAAAAGAUAAUGAAGGGAAUUGUUGGAAAUAGAGAAUUGAAAAUAUAAACAUUCAGAUAGAACAAUGUCUGUUCAUUAAAAUUAAAAAGUAUAAGUGUCUAGGCCA